Molecule: ribosomal RNA, 468 nt
Filed under: uncultured bacterium
Lineage: Bacteria
Description: partial 16S ribosomal RNA
Rfam family: Bacterial small subunit ribosomal RNA
Source: RNAcentral
GACGAACGCUGGCGGCGUGCUUAACACAUGCAAGUCGAACGGAAAGGCCCUGCUUUGGUGGGGUGCUCGAGUGGCGAACGGGUGAGUAACACGUGAGUAACCUGCCCUUGACUUUGGGAUAACGUCAGGAAACUGGGGCAAAUACCGGAUAGGAGCUCCUGCUGCAUGGUGGGGGUUUGAAAGUUUCGGAGGUUGGGGAUGGACUCGCGGCUUAUCAGCUUGUUGGUGGGGUAGUGGCUUACCAAGGCUUUGACGGGUAGCCGGCCUGAGAGGGUGACCGGCAAAAUGGGGACUGAGAUACGGCCCGGAGUCGUACGGGAGGCAGCAGUGGGGAAUAUUGCACAAUGGGCGGAAGCCUCAUGCAGCAACGCCGCGUGCGGGAUGACGGCCUUCGGGUUGUAGACCGCUUUCGCCUGUGACGAAGCGUGAGUGCCGGUAAUGUGUAAAGAAGCACCGGCUAACUACGUG